CUAAUUAAAACUCUAUUUUCCUCCCUAAAACACACUAUUGGUCGCAAAUUUUUACCAUAUAGCAUCAAUCGUAUAUGCGUAAUUAGGGAUCCACUUGUACGCAGCUUUAGCAAUUGGAGUACCAAUUGUGGGUUCUCCAUUGUUGUGUCCUUUAUCUCUCUAGCAUCAAUCAUAUAUGCGCAAUUGUAGGGAUCUUAAUUGUACGCAACUUUAGCAAUUGGAGCAGCAAUUGUGGGUUUUCCAUUGUUGUGUCCUUUUUCUUGGGUUCAUCUCUCUAGCAUUAACCGUAUAUGCGCAAUUGUAGGGAUCCAAGUUGUACGCAGCUUUAGUAAUUGGAGUAGCAAUUGUGGGUUCUCCAUUGUUGUGUCCUUUUUCUUGGGUUCAUCUCUCUCGAACGCGACGAAGUUCAAUAUGAAGACUGAAAAUGAGGAUGGUUCAACUAUGAAGAGUACUAUCAGAUAUACUUUCUGUGCAGCUGGUGUAAUUGGAAAGGGACGAGGACGAGAUCUCAGAUCUUUGACAACAAAAGGGAAAACUCUAACUAAGAGUUCAUUUUAUCAACCUGGUGGUCUAGUUAAGCAAUACACCUCCAAGAAGUUGAAACAAGUUCUAUUGGGAAAGGGUGAGGAAAAUGACUUACAAACUCUACCAUGUGUUAUAGUCAAGUAAUGGGAAUGGCGAUACGUAAGAAUUCUAUGGUUCGUGAGAACGAGUAUAUGUAAGUUAAUACUCCAUUUUCUCCGUUGACUAAUCAAGUUAAGCAAUUCAUUAAAGAGGCUGAAACAAGAAGGGGCGAGGAAAAGGACUUACAAACUCUACCAUGUGUUUUAGUCAAGUAAUGGAAAUGAUGAUACGUAAGAACUCCAUUGUUUGUGAGAAUGAGUAUAUGCAAGUUCAUACUUCAUUUUAUCCAUCGACUAAUCAAGUGUUAUUGGGAAGGGACCAUAAGAAGAACUUACAAACUUUACCAUGUCUUCUAGUCAAGGAAUGAGAAUGAUAUGUAAGAACUCCAUGGUUCGUGAGAACAAAUAUAUGCAAGUUUAUACUCCAUUUUCUCCAUCGAUAAAUCAAGUUAAGAAAUACACCAAAGAGGCUGAAACAAGUGCUAUUGGGAAGGGACCAGAAGAGGGACUUAAAAAUGUUACCAUGUCUUCUAGUCAAAGAAUGGGAUCGAUACGUAAGAAAUUCAUGGUUCUUGAUAAAGCGUAUAUACAAGUUCAUAAUCCAUGUCCUCCAUCUACUAAUCGAGUUAAGCAAUGCACCAAAGAGGUUGAAAAAAGUAUUUUUAAGAAUAAUGUGGGAUCUAAUUAAGGAAUGCGAUCAAUGGAUAAUAAUCCUCUGAUUCUUGGGAAAGAGAACAUGAAAAUCAAUAUUUCAUUGCCUCCGUCUAUUGAUCAAGUUAUGAAGCCCUCCCAAACAGCUGAAAUAGAAUUUGCAUUUCAAUAUAUGCUAAGAUUAUUGUUUAAGAAUAAUAAAGGUGAGAAGCAGAAGGAAUACAGCAAACCGAGCUAAUUUGACAAUGCUUCAUCAUAUUGAAAGCAAGCCUAUUCGAGAGAUAAUGUAUCAGCAGGGCGGGAAAGAUGACAAUUCUUCAGAUUUGGGGACUAUUUUCUACGAGACUCAUAAGAAAGACAACAAGCUUGUUGAACCUGAAGCAAUUGAAAAACAUGUGUAUUUGCUAAAUUGAAUAUGUAAAUUACUUAAAGUUAUUAUGGGUUCUGAUUGAAAAUAUCCUUUUAUCUAUUGUGUAGGCUUAGAUCGAAGAAAUUAUGAAAGCAGAGCCAUCUCUACCUAUCAUAGAGAUUGUAGAAAAAUGUUGGGGACCUCAACAUCUUAGUUAUGUAGUUCGCUUUGGCGGUGGAGUAAAGGCGAAAUACAUGAAAGGGGCACUUCUUCAAAGACUGAAUUACUGUCCGCUCUAUGUUCAACUCGAGAGGACAAUAAAUCCUUGAUUGAGGAAAAUAAAUCCUUGAAUGAUCGCUUGUCAACCUUAGAAGAUGAGAUGGAAAAAAUAAGAAAAAUGCAAGAAUUUUUUGUUGUAUAACAAUCAUAUAUCCCUCAUACGACCUCGCCUGUUUCAACUGAAUGACACACUGACUUAUUUUGCUGACCAAGAAGAAGCUCACUAUCUAAAUCUGAAAGCCUCGAGAAACCACUUCUCCUCCUGGAAGUUAAUGAAGAUCGGCUGGCAGACACGUUUCCACUAUCAAUUGUCAGAUUUAUGAAGUUGAAGUUACAAGUGAAGAUACAAGUUCAGAGAAUGCACAAGCUCAUUAUUAUUUUGCUAAGAACAUUAUGUAAACUUGACAUCAAAUUCUAGCUCAAGAUGUUAAUAGGUUAAGUUUUUUUGUUUAGCAAAUAUUGAAACUAUUGACAUCAUAAAGUUCGGGAUGUUAAUUGGUUAA
Capsicum annuum is the source of this 2405-nucleotide long non-coding RNA. RefSeq lists it as uncharacterized. The record is from RefSeq and is a predicted model, not a curated record. The transcript is spliced from 11 exons. Lineage: Eukaryota; Viridiplantae; Streptophyta; Magnoliopsida; Solanales; Solanaceae.